RNAcentral lists this ribosomal RNA (596 nucleotides) under uncultured bacterium. RNAcentral's name for it is "bacterial SSU rRNA". It matches the Rfam family "Bacterial small subunit ribosomal RNA", at positions 9 to 592 of the family's 1533-position model. The record is from RNAcentral.
GAGUUUGAUCCUGGCUCAGAAUCAACGCUGGCGACGCUGCCUCAGACAUGCAAGUCGAACGCGAAAGACCCCUUCGGGGGUUGAGUAGAGUGGCGCACGGGUGAGUAACACGUGAGUAAUUUACCUUCUCGGUGGGGAAUAACAACCGGAAACGGUUGCUAAUACCGCAUAAUGCAGCGGCAUCUUCGGAUGACAGUUGUUAAAGCGGGGGAUCGGAGCAAUCCGACCUCGUGCCGGGAGAGAAGCUCGCGGCAGAUUAGGUAGUUGGUAGGGUAACGGCCUACCAAGCCUGCGAUCUGUAGCCGGCCUGAGAGGGCGACCGGCCACACUGGGACUGAGACACGGCCCAGACUCCUACGGGAGGCAGCAGUGGGGAAUAUUGCGCAAUGGGCAAAAGCCUGACGCAGCGACGCCGCGUGAGGGAUGAAGGCCUUCGGGUUGUAAACCUCUUUCAGCAGGGACGAAGCGAGAGUGAUGGUACCUGCAGAAGAAGCACCGGCCAACUACGUGCCAGCAGCCGCGGUAAUACGUAGGGUGCAAGCGUUGUCCGGAAUUAUUGGGCGUAAAGAGCUCGUAGUGCGGUCCUGUUCGCGUCC